Molecule: ribosomal RNA, 262 nt
Filed under: uncultured archaeon
Lineage: Archaea
Description: partial 16S ribosomal RNA
Rfam family: Archaeal small subunit ribosomal RNA
Source: RNAcentral
CAGCCGUAAACUAUGCGCGUUAGGUGUACUGGUGACCACGAGUCACCGGGGUGCCGAAGGGAAACCGUGAAACGUGCCGCCUGGGAAGUACGGUCGCAAGGCUGAAACUUAAAGGAAUUGGCGGGGGGAGCACCACAACAGGUGGAGCCUGCGGUUUAAUUGGAUUCAACGCCGGACAUCUCACCGGAUAAGACAGCUGAAUGAUUGUCAAUCUGAAGGUUUUACAUGACUAGCUGAGAGGAGGUGCAUGGCGUCAGUGACU